CUGACAAUUAAAACAAUAAAAGAAUACAUUUUCGCCAAUAUUAAAAUAUUUUCUGUGGUAAGAAAAACAAUAAAAGAGGAAACAAUCAGUUAUUGAUGUGAGAUCGAUCUUUUAUAACGGAGGGCCAAGAUGUUGUCACGCUGGCAAAAAGCGAAUCGAGACCGUUGGAUGUGUACACACCGACGGUGAAGAUUACGAGAAGAGUUACACGACAAGAGAUAUGAGCCGUGGAUUUAUUCGCUUACUGCUUUUAUUAUUACUAGAGAUUUUUUCCGCGCUUCGCGCGGAUUGUGUCUUAUAAAUUUAUUUUAUUUAUAAUAUUAUUUGUCGGUUUGUUUCUUUUACAUUAAUUUUUUGUUUUUCCAAUGUUAGUUUUUCUUAAUUUAAAUUUAUAUGUUUAUAGUUUUUCUUUUUUCUGGUUGUAGAUGGAGAAUUAUAUUUUUUAUUGAUGGUUUUUGUAUGUGACAUAAACUUUUUGAAAUUUUAAAAUAAUGUUAUAUAUAGUACAAUUAACACAUUAAAGAAGAGAAACAUAUUUAAGCACAUUUUAUACAGGUUUUAUAUACAUAAUUUUAAACAUUAUAUAUAUAUAUAUUAUAAGUUUGAAA
Molecule: long non-coding RNA, 608 nt
Filed under: Brassica rapa (field mustard)
Lineage: Eukaryota; Viridiplantae; Streptophyta; Magnoliopsida; Brassicales; Brassicaceae
Description: long non-coding RNA (BRAP_LNC002080)
Source: RNAcentral